CCUACGGGUGGCAGCAGUGGGGAAUAUUGGACAAUGGGCGAAAGCCUGAUCCAGCCAUGCCGCGUGUGUGAAGAAGGCCUUCGGGUUGUAAAGCACUUUCAGUGGGGAAGAAAGCCUUGGGGCUAAUACCCUCGAGGAAGGACAUCACCCACAGAAGAAGCACCGGCUAACUCCGUGCCAGCAGCCGCGGUAAUACGGAGGGUGCGAGCGUUAAUCGGAAUUACUGGGCGUAAAGCGCGCGUAGGCGGUCUGAUAAGCCGGUUGUGAAAGCCCCGGGCUCAACCUGGGAACGGCAUCCGGAACUGUCAGGCUAGAGUGCAGGAGAGGAAGGUAGAAUUCCCGGUGUAGCGGUGAAAUGCGUAGAGAUCGUGAGGAAUACCAGUGGCGAAGGCGGCCUUCUGGACUGACACUGACGCUGAGGUGCGAAAGCGUGGGUAGCAAACAGGAUUAGAUACCCCGGUAGUC
RNAcentral lists this ribosomal RNA (465 nucleotides) under Vreelandella stevensii. Its description in RNAcentral is "partial 16S ribosomal RNA". It matches the Rfam family "Bacterial small subunit ribosomal RNA", at positions 338 to 795 of the family's 1533-position model. Lineage: Bacteria; Pseudomonadati; Pseudomonadota; Gammaproteobacteria; Oceanospirillales; Halomonadaceae. The record is from RNAcentral.